CGGGGUGAGUAAUGUCUGGGAAACUGCCUGAUGGAGGGGGAUAACUACUGGAAACAGUAGCUAAUACCGCAUAACGUCGCAAGACCGAAGAGGGGGACCUUCGGGCCUCUUGCCAUCGGAUGUGCCCAGAUGGGAUUAGCUAGUAGGUGGGGUAACGGCUCACCUAGGCGACGAUCCCUAGCUGGUCUGAGAGGAUGACCAGCCACACUGGAACUGAGACACGGUCCAG
RNAcentral lists this ribosomal RNA (229 nucleotides) under uncultured bacterium. RNAcentral's name for it is "partial 16S ribosomal RNA". It matches the Rfam family "Bacterial small subunit ribosomal RNA", at positions 104 to 334 of the family's 1533-position model. The record is from RNAcentral.